Molecule: long non-coding RNA, 483 nt
Filed under: Cottoperca gobio
Lineage: Eukaryota; Metazoa; Chordata; Actinopteri; Perciformes; Bovichtidae
Description: lncRNA (ENSCGOG00000004722.1)
Source: RNAcentral
GAAGGGAGGAGAGAGAGAGGGAGGUUGCAUCAGCACGGAGACUCCAGUGACUCAAUGAUAUCAGGAAAUUUCUGAAACAGGAGAGGAGGCAAAAGAAGAAGAAGAAGAAGAAGAAGAAGAAGAAGAAGAAGAAGAAGAAGGGGGAGGAGGGGGAGGAGGGUGUAUAAAGGCAGCAGUGGGGAGUGAAGCUGCUGCAUUUGAAGAUGUUUCUGCUCCUCGUCAGGUGGUCUGCUCUCUCUCUGCUCCUCUUCUUCACUGACGGGCUGCUGGCUGCAGAGCGAGGCCUCAGCUGCAGGCAGGAGAUCCCUGCAGAGAUGAUCCGGGAGCUGUGGAGCCGCAGCACGCAGCUCGUACACAAGCUGCCGAAAGAAGAAAAAUUCUCCGGGCGACACAGAAUUCUGCCAAACUUCUGCACCAAAUGUUCUCAGCGUGUGAUUGGCUGGCUGGAGAUGCGGGAAUUGAUGGACGUCUACCAGAGGAGCG